GAUGAACGCUGGCGGUCUGCUUAACACAUGCAAGUCGAACGGUCGUGGAAAUACGAUAGUGGCGGACGGGUGAGUAACGCGUAAGAACCCGCCUUCAGGACUGGAAUAACAGAGGGAAACGUCUGCUAAAACCGGAUGUGCCGAGAGGUGAAAAAUUAAUUGCCUGAAGAGGGGCUUGCGUCUGAUUAGCUAGUUGGAGUGGUAAAAGCACACCAAGGCGACGAUCAGUAACUGGUCUGAGAGGAUGAGCAGUCACACUGGGACUGAGACACGGCCCAGACUCCUACGGGAGGCAGCAGUGGGGAAUUUUCCGCAAUGGGCGAAAGCCUGACGGAGCAAGACCGCGUGAGGGAGGAAGGCCCUAGGGUUGUAAACCUCUUUUCUCUGGGAAGAAGAAUGACGGUACCAGAGGAAUAAGCCUCGGCUAACUCCGUGCCAGCCGCCGCCGUAAGAC
This 454-nucleotide ribosomal RNA is filed under the name uncultured bacterium. RNAcentral describes it as "bacterial SSU rRNA". It matches the Rfam family "Bacterial small subunit ribosomal RNA", at positions 28 to 526 of the family's 1533-position model. The record is from RNAcentral.